Molecule: ribosomal RNA, 253 nt
Filed under: uncultured bacterium
Lineage: Bacteria
Description: partial 16S ribosomal RNA
Rfam family: Bacterial small subunit ribosomal RNA
Source: RNAcentral
UACAGAGGAGCCAAGCGUUGUCCGGAUUGACUGGGCGUAAAGCGCACGCAGGCGGACGCGCGCGUGGGGUGUGAAAUCUGGCCGCUUAACGGCCAGGCGCCAUCCCAUACGGCGCGACUGGAGUGAUGCAGAGGUCGAUGGAAUUGCCGGUGUAGUGGUGAAAUGCGUAGAUAUCAGGAGGAACGCCGGUGGCGAAAGCGACUCUCUGGGCUGUUCCUGACACUGAUGCGCGAGAGCUAGGGGAGCAAACAGG